RNAcentral lists this long non-coding RNA (202 nucleotides) under Phoenix dactylifera (date palm). RNAcentral describes it as "long non-coding RNA (PDAC_LNC000893)". The record is from RNAcentral. Lineage: Eukaryota; Viridiplantae; Streptophyta; Magnoliopsida; Arecales; Arecaceae.
AGUCCAGUUAUAGGGUGAGGAGAAGAAAGUUCUCCUCAUUGCAAACCAUUUAAGGUUGUAGAGGUGGGGCAAAUUGUGUUUGAGGAAGGGCAACUAUUCGUGGAUGUGAAUGAGUUCAGGAAUGCAUUAAGAGUAAUAUUAUGCUGUCCAGGGUGGCUAUGAACUUAAGAGGGAUAGGAAUGAAUCUAAGAGAGUGAUUGCC